RNAcentral lists this microRNA (21 nucleotides) under Gallus gallus (chicken). RNAcentral's name for it is "gga-miR-6657-3p". The record is from miRBase by way of RNAcentral. Lineage: Eukaryota; Metazoa; Chordata; Aves; Galliformes; Phasianidae.
ACAUGGUGGGAGAAGGGUGAC